CACGGGGGGAGCAAGCGUUGUUCGGAAUCACUGGGCGUAAAGGGCGUGUAGGCGGUCAGAUAAGUGGGGUGUGAAAGCCCCCGGCUCACCCGGGGAUCUGCAUUCCAAACUGUCUGGCUUGAGUACGGGAGAGGAUGAGGGAAUUCCUGGUGUAGCGGUGAAAUGCGUAGAUAUCAGGAGGAACACCGGUGGCGAAGGCGCUCAUCUGGCCCGAUACUGACGCUGAGGCGCGAAAGCUAGGGGAGCAAACGGG
Molecule: ribosomal RNA, 253 nt
Filed under: uncultured bacterium
Lineage: Bacteria
Description: partial 16S ribosomal RNA
Rfam family: Bacterial small subunit ribosomal RNA
Source: RNAcentral